This 263-nucleotide unclassified non-coding RNA is filed under the name uncultured fungus. RNAcentral's name for it is "partial contains small subunit ribosomal RNA, internal transcribed spacer 1, and 5.8S ribosomal RNA". The stretch from base 1 to 73 matches the Rfam family "Eukaryotic small subunit ribosomal RNA", at positions 1759 to 1831 of the family's 1831-position model. Lineage: Eukaryota; Fungi. The record is from RNAcentral.
ACAAACUUGGUCAUUUAGAGGAAGUAAAAGUCGUAACAAGGUCUCCGUAGGUGAACCUGCGGAGGGAUCAUUACAGAGUUUUCCAAACUCCAAACCCAUGUGAACUUACCACUGUUGCCUCGGCGGCAGGUCAUCUCUCGGGGUGGCAGCCGCCGGUGGACUACUAAACUCUUGUUAAUAUUUGUCAUUCUGAAUACAAAACUUAAUAAGUUAAAACUUUCAACAACGGAUCUCUUGGUUCUGGCAUCGAUGAAGAACGCAGC